Molecule: transfer-messenger RNA, 425 nt
Filed under: Blastochloris viridis
Lineage: Bacteria; Pseudomonadati; Pseudomonadota; Alphaproteobacteria; Hyphomicrobiales; Blastochloridaceae
Also listed under: 1 other name
Rfam family: transfer-messenger RNA
About the family: Bacterial tmRNA, also known as 10Sa RNA or SsrA, is named for its dual tRNA and mRNA-like properties. Its role is to liberate the mRNA from a stalled ribosome. To accomplish this part of the tmRNA is used as a reading frame that ends in a translation stop signal.
Source: RNAcentral
GGGGGCGCCUUGGUUUCGACGGGGCGCUGACCUGGACAGGAGCAUGCGGCAGGGGUUACGGGCUGCCUUAAUAACCGUGACAGGUACAUAAAUGCCAAAGCGAAAAGCAACGUGAUCGCUUUCCGUCCGCGCACCAGCGCUGGCGCCUACGCGAUGGCUGCCUAACUAGAUCCUUCCCCUUGGUUGGGGAACUUUAGUUAACAGCUCCGGCUCUUACUUUCUACCGUGUGGCGUGGUAGUGAGUUGCCGGCCAAAUCUCUGCCACUCUAGGGCCUAGCGCGUGCAGCGUGUAACCCGAAAUUUAUCUGCACACCUUUAAGUAAGGGGGCAACCGGCCUAGCUUAAAGUAUCCUCUGGUUGCUGAGCAUGGAGACCCUUACGGGAACGCGUUUCGGACGUGGGUUCGAGUCCCACCGCCUCCACCA